Molecule: ribosomal RNA, 367 nt
Filed under: uncultured eukaryote
Lineage: Eukaryota
Description: partial 18S ribosomal RNA
Rfam family: Eukaryotic small subunit ribosomal RNA
Source: RNAcentral
CAAUAGCGUAUAUUAUUGAUGUUGCAGUUGAAACGUUCGUAGUCGACUUCUAUAUGCUAAAGUACAUCGUCAUUGAUGAUGACGUUGUAGUCAUAGCAUAGAUAGUGCAAGGGUAAACAUAUGUUCCAUAUGUUUUGCUUUUGUACCUUACUUUGAGUGAAUCGGCGUGUUCCACGCAGGCUUUGUGCCUUGAACGAUUUACCAUAGCAUAAUCAGAUUGUGAGGAAACUUCCUUGUUUGUUUGGAAGUUUUUUCAAUACUGAUAAGAACGGUCGAGGGCAUUCGUAUUCGACUGCUAGAGGUGAAAUUCUUUGAUUAGUCGAGGACGAACUAUUGCGAAAGCAUCUGCCAAGGACGUUUCUUUUGA